GGAGGGGGCUAGCGUUAUUCGGAAUUAUUGGGCGUAAAGGGCGUGUAGGCGGCUUCGUGUGUCCCAUGUGAAAGCCCUCGGCUCAACCGGGGAACUGCAUGGGAAACUGCGGAGCUUGAGUCCGGGGGAGGUGAGUGGAAUUCCCAGUGUAGCGGUGAAAUGCGUAGAUAUUGGGAGGAACACCGGUGGCGAAGGCGGCUCACUGGACCGGUACUGACGCUGAGACGCGAAAGCCAGGGGAGCAAACGGGAUUAGAUACCCCGGUAGUCCUGGCUGUAAACGAUGAGAACUUGGUGUGGCGGGUAUCGACCCCUGCCGUGCCGAAGCUAACGCAUUAAGUUCUCCGCCUGGGGAGUACGGCCGCAAGGCUG
This 371-nucleotide ribosomal RNA is filed under the name uncultured bacterium. RNAcentral describes it as "bacterial SSU rRNA". It matches the Rfam family "Bacterial small subunit ribosomal RNA", at positions 527 to 896 of the family's 1533-position model. The record is from RNAcentral.